This 1645-nucleotide non-coding RNA is filed under the name Pongo abelii (Sumatran orangutan). The record is from RNAcentral. Lineage: Eukaryota; Metazoa; Chordata; Mammalia; Primates; Hominidae.
CUUUGGGAGGCCGAGGUGGGCAGAUCACCUAAGGCCAGGAGUUCGAGACCAGCCUGGCCAACGUGGCAAAACCCCGUCUCUACUAAAAAUACAAAAAUUAGCCGGGCAUGGUGGUGUGUGCCUGGAAUCCCAGCUACCCAGGAGGCUUAGGCAGGAGAAAUGCUGGAACCCGGGAGGCAGAGGCUGCAGUGAGCUGAGAUCAUGCCACUACUGCACUCCAGCCUGGGUGACAGAGCAAGACUCCCUCUAAAAAAAGAAAAAAAGAAAAGAAAAGAAAAGAAAAUGAUAUAUCCAUGAUGAAUUAAGAUGGAGUGGAACCCACUGAUGGUAUGCAGCUGAUAAGACGCUAUAAAGAAAUGAUAUCCGGACACAUGACAAAGGAAAGGUAAACCGCUGGUUUAGAGUCUUUGGAAGGCAACUGUAUCUGACUAGAAUUUAAUAUUAUUGUUUUUCUUUCAUUGAUUGCAUUUAUCUGUAUGGCUAGUUAAACUGAUUUUCCGUUUAAAAGUAGUAAUGCAUUUUUUUUACAAUUACAUUGUUUUAAGUAAACAAGAAUUAUUCAAAAGACAAAAACACUAGCACAGAUGGUAUUCAGUGACUGCAGAUAUCAUAAAGAUAGUUCAUGAAUGACAAAGAUUUGAGAAGUAGUGUGUUCACGAUGCUUCCUGGAAGAGGUGGGUUAUACAAUGUUUCUUGGAGAAAGGGAUAGGGGUCUACUGCUAGGAGGGAAAGAUGAAGCUACUUAGGAGGACGAGGAAACAGGCAGUUGGCCUGCCCUCUGCUUGGAGAUCACAGCCAAGGAGGCACAGGAGAGACACCCCCUGGAGGAGCUCCGUGGGCUGCAGGGCUGACAUGGUCCAGCCUGGGCAACAAGAGCGAAACCCCAUCUCAAAACAACAACAACAACAACAACAGGACAACAGAGAUGGACGACGGAUCGGGAAAGCCAACCAGACAGUGUGAGGCCAGGACAGAAAGAGGCACAGGGAGCUCUGCUCAGUUUCGCUACAGGGGAUCUCUCAGGCUCACAAUGGGCCAGUCCUCUAUGGAAGUUCUGGCCUCAUCAUGAUCCUUCUUUCAUCUCACUCCCCAUGCCCUUCCUCUGUCCCUCCUCCCACUGCCAUUUAUUUAUUUAAGUGAAAAAGUACCAAUCACCCCCAUAUGCAUAAAAUACUCAUCCAUGUACCCAUUUCUUAAAAUUGAUCAUUGUUAACAUUUGGUAUAAUUUGCUUUAUUUAUUUUUAAUGAAAGAAAUACAACUUUACAGAAAAUGCUUUAUUUUUCUCUUUGUUCCCUCCCCAUCCUAUCUUUUUCUCCUAAAAAACUCUGUUAUCAGAAAUAUUAGUGUGUAUUCCCAGUUUUGAUUUUUUAUUUUAUUACACACGCACUCCCACACAUAGCUGUGGCAAUGAACUUCACAUAGUAUGGUUCUGUAUUUUCUCUUUGUUUUUCAAACUUACGUAAGUAUUUUACUGUUUCUCAUGGAAAAACUCACUUUUCCCAUCCAACGUUACGUUUUCUUAAGAUCUCUCUAUGUUGAUAUAAAGGAAUCUAGUUCAUUCUUUUUAAUGAAAAUAAAGUAUAUUUUAUGAAUGUAACUCAUGCUAACCAUGGCAAUCAAAGCUCCAACAAGCAUGCAUUUAGU